RNAcentral lists this transfer RNA (72 nucleotides) under Tupaia belangeri chinensis (Chinese tree shrew). RNAcentral describes it as "Tupaia chinensis (Chinese tree shrew) tRNA". It matches the Rfam family "tRNA". From Rfam's summary of the family: Transfer RNA (tRNA) molecules are approximately 80 nucleotides in length. Their secondary structure includes four short double-helical elements and three loops (D, anti-codon, and T loops). Further hydrogen bonds mediate the characteristic L-shaped molecular structure. tRNAs have two regions of fundamental functional importance: the anti-codon, which is responsible for specific mRNA codon recognition, and the 3' end, to which the tRNAs corresponding amino acid is attached (by aminoacyl-tRNA synthetases). tRNAs cope with the degeneracy of the genetic code in two manners: having more than one tRNA (with a specific anti-codon) for a particular amino acid; and 'wobble' base-pairing, i.e. permitting non-standard base-pairing at the 3rd anti-codon position. The record is from Rfam by way of RNAcentral. Lineage: Eukaryota; Metazoa; Chordata; Mammalia; Scandentia; Tupaiidae.
GGAAGUGUGGCUCAUUGGUAGGGCACAUACUUAACAUGCACCAGGCCCUGGGUUCAGUCCCCAGCACUUGCA